This 253-nucleotide ribosomal RNA is filed under the name uncultured bacterium. RNAcentral describes it as "partial 16S ribosomal RNA". It matches the Rfam family "Bacterial small subunit ribosomal RNA", at positions 524 to 776 of the family's 1533-position model. The record is from RNAcentral.
UACGUAGGGGGCGAGCGUUGUCCGGAUUUAUUGGGCGUAAAGAGCUCGUAGGCGGUUUGAUAAGUCUGCUGUGAAAGUCCAGGGCUCAACCCUGGGAUGCCGGUGGAUACUGUCGGGCUAGAGUGCGGAAGAGGCGAGUGGAAUUCCUGGUGUAGCGGUGAAAUGCGCAGAUAUCAGGAGGAACACCUAUUGCGAAGGCAGCUCGCUGGGACGUAACUGACGCUGAGACGCGAAAGCGUGGGGAGCAAACAGG